AAAAUAAGAACGCGCCUUUAAAGUAAGUACCUGAUAGGCGAUACCAUGUAUCCGAACGCUUCCGUAACGAACUUGUCAAUGUCAAAUUGACGUCAAUUUUGACGUCGUCAAACGAACGACUGCUAUACUUAUAUAUCGGCAGAAUUGUUUAUAGUUGUUGUUAUUUCAUUUAAAAAGUUGAAAUCCUAAAUAAAUUAAGUAUGGAAAGUGGUAGUAGUGACGACGAAAGUGCGUCAAAUUCUAGUGCGCCGCUAACGCCAAUUAAAAAGCGAAAAAUUACAAAAAGACUCCAAAAAUUUUAACCGGAGUGGGAAAGAGAGUAUGGCUGGAUUACUGAAGAUCCCCAAAAUAUUUAUAAUGCGAAAUGUAAACAUUGUAAUCUGUCUGAAUAAUUUGGUUUUGAGAAGUUCAAUGCAAAAGUGGAAAACAUAGAAAAGCUUCUGACAUUAAACUACACAAAAAACUGAACCAAGAACCAUCACCUUCCGUCCUCGUCGAGACAAAAGGCUAGAAGCUAAUUACACAGAAUAUGGAAUUUCAAACACUUAUGAAGAAGCAAUGAAAAGUCCUAAUUCUCAUCUGUGGAAGAAAGCUGUAGCUGAAGAGCUUCAGUCUUCCUCCGAGCCUUUUUUUCCCAAACUAUGUUGGGGUCGGCUUUUAGUCUAAAAACUAAGUUUAAGUGUAGCUGAAGAGCUUCAGUCACAUAAAAAAAAUCAGACGUGGAUACUAACCGAUAAAAGUUAGAAGAAGCCUGUAUCGUGUAAAUGGGUGUUCUCUUUAAAGAAGAAUAGAGAUGGAAAAAUAGUACAAUAGAAAGCACGACUGUGUGCACGAGGGUUCACACAAGUCAAGGGCUUGGAUUAUAAUGAGACUAUUUCCCCCACAAGCAGGUACGAUUCGAUCUGGGUUCUGUAACAGAACAUAAAUUUAAAAAGUGAUGUUGAAUAUCAACACUUUUCUCACUUAGUAGAAACUUUGAAACUGCAAAAACUUAAUAUUAACAUGGAUGACCUGUAUGAAGAAGUUUCUUUAUUAAAAGAGUUAUAUGCACAAGUUAAUCAUUCUAAAGAUUUUUUGGAAUUAUCUACAUCACAGAAGUGGCAAAAAAAUUUUCAAAGUAGUAAUGAUUUCGUAAAUAUAUAUAAAAUCGUGUCAUUUCUGCUAUCCAUUCCUGCCACUUCAGCAUUUACAGAGAGAGUUUUUUCUCUGAUGAAUGCUAAGUGGCGGGACGAACGAAACAGAGCGUCCCUAAAUUUAAUAAAAAACGAAUUAUUUAUAUACUUCAAUCUAAACAUAGAUUGUAAAGAUGCGGUUAAGACGUUCUUUGAUAAUAAAUAUUUGUUAGA
Long non-coding RNA from Helicoverpa armigera (cotton bollworm), 1346 nucleotides. RefSeq lists it as uncharacterized. The transcript is spliced from 2 exons. The record is from RefSeq and is a predicted model, not a curated record. Lineage: Eukaryota; Metazoa; Arthropoda; Insecta; Lepidoptera; Noctuidae.